RNAcentral lists this ribosomal RNA (330 nucleotides) under uncultured bacterium. Its description in RNAcentral is "bacterial SSU rRNA". It matches the Rfam family "Bacterial small subunit ribosomal RNA", at positions 568 to 898 of the family's 1533-position model. The record is from RNAcentral.
UGUGUAGGUGGCCUGUUAAGUUCCGUGUGAAAUCUCCCGGCUCAACCGGGAGGGUGCGCGGAAAACUGGCGGGCUAGAGUGCGGGAUGGGAGAGUAGAAUUCCUGGUGUAGCGGUGAAAUGCGUAGAUAUCAGGAGGAAUACCGGUGGUGUAGACGGCUCUCUGGACCGUAACUGACACUGAAACACGAAAGCGUGGGUAGCAAACAGGAUUAGAUACCCUGGUAGUCCACGCCCUAAACGAUGCACGUUUGGUGUAGGUCAUUCAGUUGAUCUGUGCCGGAGCUAACGCGUUAAAUGUGCCGCCUGGGGAGUACAGUCGCAAGGCUGAA